This 433-nucleotide ribosomal RNA is filed under the name uncultured bacterium. RNAcentral describes it as "partial 16S ribosomal RNA". It matches the Rfam family "Bacterial small subunit ribosomal RNA", at positions 29 to 507 of the family's 1533-position model. The record is from RNAcentral.
AACGAACGCUGGCGGCAGGCCUAACACAUGCAAGUCGAACGAGACCUUCGGGUCUAGUUGCGCACGGGUGCGUAACGGGUGGGAACCUGCCGUUAGGUUCGGAAUAACUACCCGUAAGGGGGGAUAAUACCGGAUAAUUUCUUUUGACCAAAGAUUUGUCGUCUUUGUAUGGGCCCGCGUUGUAUUAGCUAAGUGGUAGGGUAAAAGCCUACGAAGGCGACGAUCCAUAGCUGGUCUGAGAGGAUGAUCAGCCACACUGGGACUCGGACACGGCCCAGAGUCCUACGGGAGGCAGCAGUGGGGAAUAUUGGCAAACGGGCGAAAGCCUGAUCCAGCAAGGCCGCGUGAGUCAUGAAGGCCUUAGGGUUGUACAGCUCUUUUAUCCGGGAUGAUACUGACAGUACCGGGAGAAUAAGCUCCGGCUAACUCCGUG